GUUCAAUCCAGUUCUUAUUCUGUCUUUGCUGGAGAGGUGAUACAGAACAUCUGAAGUGUUUUUGUUAAUACUUUUUACAUCAGAAGUCUAGAUGUGGAACAUUAAUGGCAGACAGAGCAUAAGAUUUAACUUUAUUUGUGGAGCUGCUGGAAUUUCUUCAUCUUCACAGUGUAACAGAGCUCAUACUAUCCCUCAGGGUAAUCCAUAAGAGCAUCUGUUGUGCAUAAAGAAAAUGCUGAAAUUAGUAGAAAAUUCAGUCUUCUGUGCUUUGGUUUGGAAAAGAGCCARUCACCACUUAGGAUGUGAGAAGAUACCUUGGGGAGACCAGUUCACAGGUGAAGGCAGGAGAGGACUGUAAUCCUCCACUGGAGUAUCCUGCAAAGAAAAGAUGAUGCAACUAAUUUUAAAGAUUCCUGAUAGGAGCAGCCUUAUCAUGGAUGAUUUAUUGCAAACAUCUGAUUGCUGCAGGAUUUGAGAGAUCCCACCACAGAURUCAGAAGGAGCAAUCCUGGGUUCUAUCACAGGAGCCCCUUAAAUGCUGCGGUCCUAAUCCACAGCUGGUACAGCGGGCUGCUGCUGCUGCGGGGGGAAGGGGUUAUGACAGCAGUGCAAGAACCCYGUGUGCUCAUCCUGCUUUCCUGCUCUGAGAUCCCACCCAGCAGUGCCAAUCAAAGGAGUUUCUGCUGCCAACCUGACCACAAGCGUGGCUAUCACACUAAGACAUCAGAUGCAAAAUUGUCAGUUCCUGUUACAUUCUCUGGAGUGUCAGUGUACUCUUGCAGUAACCAGGAGUGAAAGGGGGCAUCCAUGGAUCUACUACACCUCUGCUCCAUCCCCCUGUAAUAAGAAGCAUUCUAACACUGUGGAGAGCUGCUGCCUCUCUUUUCUGUUUGCUCAGCUAAGUAGUGGCUUUUAGCACGUAUAUCAAACUGAGCAAACAAAAGCACACGGUCAGAUGUAAAGCUACAAGGAAUGACAAAGAAUGACAGGAAGAUUUUUCAUUCUGACCUAUGAGACACUCAUGGCCUUUUGGAAGAUCUAACCAGGUGAACACUGUGUUGUUAUCUGGGACUGUGAUCUUGCACCAAAAAUCCCACAGAGGAACCAUAAAAUUUCCAAAAWAAUGAUGGUGCUUCUUUAGAAAUGAUGGAUCACACCACUGAAAUGGAGUGGGAAGGAGCAGAUUAAUAAAUUCUCAUUCGUGUUUACUUARGGUUUUUCCUGAUCAGAUUUUGAGCCAUAUUUUCUGACAGAGAUAUGUCAACUUCCUUUUUCUAUGGCACUACUGACCUCAUCCUGAGUGAUGUAUAGCAGCUCUACUUCUUACUUCUCCAUGAUUGAAACGUAAAACUUCACACUGAAAAUCUGUGCCUUGUAAUAGCUGUGUGGAAUGCUUUACCAAACUGUCAGCAGGAAAUGUAGAUAUUAACUCUGUAAUUACCAAAGUAGUGCGAUGCAUUGACUAUAAUAUGUAUUUUAAGUGUGAUCAGAUUUUUUUCCUAUUUUCUAAGUGGGGUUUCCUGAAUUCCUUAGAAGGCCUAAAAUAAAUAGAAAAAAAAAUGGGAACUGGGACAAUUUCUCUCUUCAAACUAAUUUCAAUGCAUUAAACACUCUUCACUAUGAAAGGGACUAUUAUACAGCCCAAAGUUCAAACAACUGAGUUCUUUCAUUCAAAUGAUGCUCUGUAUCAUGCUGAAAUCAUUACAGGGCUUGGUCACUGCAAGUCACAUCCUUAAUAGGUGGCAAAAAUAACCACAUUAAACAGGGAUAUUUUGUCUAGACUCAUUUAUCUCUUUCCAGACUUCCUAACUUCUUAAAAAUCUUAUUAAACACUAGAUUUAAUGUACUUAGCCUAAUUGCUCUCUCCAAAACAUUAAAGAAUGUCUGUUACAGAUAAAAGAGAACACAUYAACUUUUCUCAUAUUUUUCCCCACUUUUUCUACUAUGAUUUUUUCUAGCUUCUUAAUUGAAAGAAAUCUCUUAUUUUGAAUUCUAUUGCAAUUUUUAACAAAAUAAUCKGAAAUAUAUAAUUUCAUUUCUGGUGAUUCACAACUCUGUCAUCUCAUUUUCAAAACUUUCUCACCAUUUAUAUUUUAAUAUGAAAGCUUGUCAUGUAUUUGCUUGAUUGUCUAUCAUGGCUUGAAGAAUCCCUUAUUCUUAAUYUUGUAUCUGAAUUAGCUUUGAUAGCUGAUCUUGAAUAACUAAACAAUAUAAUUUUUUUUUUUUUUCAGUUAGUUGCUUGCAGUUGGGCAUAGGGCAGCCUGGAUAUUGCGGUGUGCUUUUUUGGUAAAACGUAUUUGUGCUAGUCUGCCUGGCAAGGAGUGAAGAAGGUCUGUGGCUCUGCUCUGGCUUGUUAUGCAGGUGAGAGYUUUUCCAAGGUUCACCAACAGGCAGUUUGGGAGCCUGGAAAUCUCCUGCUGCAGGGCCAGGAGUGAGAAAACCCUUGGUGGCCAGGGGUGAGCACUCCAGUAAGAUAUAAUUUAGCAGRGGUAAGCCUAGUAGCUGGCAAAUGCCUAAUUAAGCUCAAUGCCUGGAAGCUGCAGACAGGGAAAUUAAUGUUGGGAUUAUAGUGUCAUAAGAUCACAGGAUAAUUCAGACUGGAAAGGUGCUCAGGAGGUCACCUGUCCAACCUCCUACUGAAAGCAGAAUCAACUCUGAUCUCAGACCAGGUUGCUCAGGGUUUUAUCCAGUCGAGUCUAAAACACCUGCAUGGAUGGAAAGCACAGAUUCCUYAGGGAAUUUGCUUCAAUUUUGAUCUCGUAGGGAAAAAGUUGCUCCUGUAUCCAGUAAGAACCUUUAAUGACAGAGACACAUUUAUAUUGUGGAUGGCUAUUUGGAUAGAUAUGUCACAGGAAUUGGGGAAUUCCACWUCUAUUGUUAUCUUCAUGACUGGAUAAUUUUCUGGGAAACUUGUUUUAUAUCAAAGAUAAGAUUAUAUUUUCUGAAUGUACACCUGUUCCUUGUGGCUUUAAUCUAACAAAUACAUACCUAGUUGGAGGAUUUGAAUGAGGUACUUUUGACAAUUAAGGAAUAGCURUUUCUUUAAAAUAGUGAUUUUUAAUCUCAAUUAAAAUUACUAAAAUUAUAGUAAAGGAAUUUACAGGCACUGUAAACCUGGUUUAAGUAUUUGUUGCCUUUUCUAAUCUUUCUAUGACUUUUGAGCUUCAAUACUUCUGAGACAUUUCUACGGCAUUUAAUUGUCAAGUGACUUGGAAAAGAACAAGAAUAUUCUCAGAAACAUUUGAAUAACUUAGUCUGUACUUUUACARAGCCAUUAGAAAACCUGUUGAUUUAAAACAAUAAAACAAAGAAGCAACAGACUGUUGUCUUUUACUUGAUAGCAAGACACAACACAUAUGCUUCAAAAUGCUUCAAAAAUGCUUCAAAAUCUUUAUUUGCUGAGUGAUGCAAUUCACUGAUACACUGAUUAUCAGACUAAUGGUUCAUGCUGGGAAUAGGGUCACAGAGGUGUUUUUGAGGCUUUUCUGUAAUUUUUCUUUGCUGUUGCUGUCAUAAUAACAUGCAGUAGGUGACUGCAUAYUCAGAGAAAGGGCCUAUUCCUGGGACACACUGUUGUAAUGAUGCAUUUAGGCUAUUUUGUACUGCUUGCUACCCUCAGGSUUCUGAGAGGUUCCCUCUUGAAUGAGAAAUGUAGCAAGAUCAAAUUCAAAGCAGAUGCUUCUAGUCCAUUCUGUACCAACGCCCAAACCRGGAAUGCAAUGACACAUCAUGGACUGAACUCAGUUUCACACCACACGUUCAGUGGUGGUCAAUUAAAGCAUGUAUACUUUGGAUUAUCCAAACUAUAAAUGGUUUAUUUCUGAUUACCUUCUUUAACUUUGGACUAUACAA
Long non-coding RNA from Malurus melanocephalus (red-backed fairy wren), 3852 nucleotides. RefSeq lists it as uncharacterized. Lineage: Eukaryota; Metazoa; Chordata; Aves; Passeriformes; Maluridae. The record is from RefSeq and is a predicted model, not a curated record. The transcript is spliced from 5 exons.